UACGUAGGGGGCAAGCGUUAUCCGGAAUUACUGGGUGUAAAGGGAGCGUAGACGGCAAUGCAAGUCCGGAGUGGAAUGCGGCAGCUCAACUGCCGAACUGCUCUGGAAACUGUAUGGCUUGAGUGCAGGAGGGGUAAGCGGAAUUCCUGGUGUAGCGGUGAAAUGCGUAGAUAUCAGGAGGAACACCGGUGGCGAAGGCGGCUUACUGGACUGUAACUGACGUUGAGGCUCGAAAGCGUGGGGAGCAAACA
This 251-nucleotide ribosomal RNA is filed under the name uncultured bacterium. RNAcentral's name for it is "partial 16S ribosomal RNA". It matches the Rfam family "Bacterial small subunit ribosomal RNA", at positions 524 to 774 of the family's 1533-position model. The record is from RNAcentral.